Molecule: long non-coding RNA, 831 nt
Filed under: Androctonus crassicauda
Lineage: Eukaryota; Metazoa; Arthropoda; Arachnida; Scorpiones; Buthidae
Source: RNAcentral
AAAAUUUAAAAUUCUUCCUCCUGGAUUUUAAAUUUGCAAAAUCUCUAAUCACAUCUUUUAUUUUUAUAUUUUUGGCUACUGCCACACUGUUUUGAUUUAAUGAAUGUUUCACUCUUCAUGAUGCAUUUAAUUUUUAUUGUAGUAUGUUGUUAAUUUAAAAAGAGAGUAAAGAAAGUACAGAUAAAGAGGAUUUGAGCCCCCCUGUUGUGGAGUCUGGUGCAUUGUAGUUCUCUUACUGCUUGAGGUUAUGUAUAGUACAGUAUAGUUGAAUAUUAAAAAGUCAUUUGUUUGAUGAGGUGUAUUGUUCAGAUGCUUAACCCAAACUUGAGUUAAUUGGAUAGGCUCUCAAAGUUAACAGUCUGCCCCUAUGUAUACAAUUAUAUAAAUUGUUAUAUGAUCAUUUUCCUGAUGAUAAAGCAUGCUACAUGCCUUAAGAGGAACAUAUGCUACAUGUCUUAGAGUAAUAAGUAUAAUAAUCUGCCGUCAUUCAUAUUUUUCCAACAAUGAAAAAUUUUACAAAGAAGUAUUAAUGAGCACACUCCAUGGCUGGGAUCUUAACAAAAUUUGUAGUAAGGCAGUUAUAUAUAAAUUUAUUACACAUGUAAAAGAUAUGUUAAUAACAUCUUUACUAUAUGAGAAGAUAAAGCUGACAUAGAUAAAUUUAGUCAUCAAUAAAUUUAGAACUAGUCCAACACUAGUCAGGAACAGGCAGUGCUGGGCACACUUUGUUAGUAUAUUUAUUAAAAUACUAUAUUAUUAUUAUUAUAGUCAAAUAAUAAUAUAAUACAAUCGUAAAAUGUUAAUUUUAUCAUUUACAAAUUUUUUAGUAAU